AGCGAACGCUGGCGGCAGGCCUAACACAUGCAAGUCGAACGAACCCUUCGGGGUUAGUGGCGGACGGGUGAGUAACACGUGGGAACGUGCCUUUAGGUUCGGAAUAACUCAGGGAAACUUGUGCUAAUACCGAAUGUGCCCUUCGGGGGAAAGAUUUAUCGCCUUUAGAGCGGCCCGCGUCUGAUUAGCUAGUUGGUGAGGUAAUGGCUCACCAAGGCUACGAUCAGUAGCUGGUCUAAGAGGAUGACCAGCCACAUUGGGACUGAGACACGGCCCAAACUCCUACGGGAGGCAGCAGUGGGGAAUCUUGCGCAAUGGGCGAAAGCCUGACGCAGCCAUGCCGCGUGGAUGAUGAAGGUCUUAGGAUUGUAAAAUCCUUUCACCGGUGAAGAUAAUGACUGUAGCCGGAGAAGAAGCCCCGGCUAACUUCGUGCCAGCAGCCGCCGUAA
This 449-nucleotide ribosomal RNA is filed under the name uncultured bacterium. Its description in RNAcentral is "partial 16S ribosomal RNA". It matches the Rfam family "Bacterial small subunit ribosomal RNA", at positions 29 to 523 of the family's 1533-position model. The record is from RNAcentral.